GAUGAACGCUGGCGGCGUGCCUAAUACAUGCAAGUCGAGCGAACGGACGAGAAGCUUGCUUCUCUGAUGUUAGCGGCGGACGUGUGAGUAACACGUGGAUCACCUACCUAUAAGACUGGGAUAACUUCGGGAAACCGUAGCUAAUACCGGAUAAUAUUUUGAACCGCAUGGUUCAAAAGUGAAAGACGGUCUUGCUGUCACUUAUAGCUGGAUCCGCGCUGCAUUAGCUAGUUGGUAAGGUAACGGCUUGCCAAGGCAACGAUGCAUAGCCGACCUGAGAGGGUGAUCGGCCACAUUGGAACGGAGACACGGACCAGACGCCUAAGGGAGGCAGCAGUAGGGAAUGGGACGCAAAGGGCGAAAGCAUGACGGAGCAAGGCCGCGUGAGUGAUGAAGGUCUUCGGAGCGUAAAACUCUGUUAUUAGGGAAGAACAGAUGUGUAAGUAACUGUGCACAUCUUGACGGUAACUAAUCAGAAAGCCACGGCUAACUACGUG
Molecule: ribosomal RNA, 497 nt
Filed under: uncultured bacterium
Lineage: Bacteria
Description: partial 16S ribosomal RNA
Rfam family: Bacterial small subunit ribosomal RNA
Source: RNAcentral